GGUUGGGGGCCCUUUGCUAAGGCUGCUGGCUGCCUCUGUGUGUGUGCCGUCCCUCCGAGACGAAUGAAGUAGAACCUCUCUGCUUAAAGCAGGGAUAGCUUUGCUUCAUUACUAUUUCUCUCUGUCAGGCGUUUUACUGCAAAUACGCAUCCAGUAGGCACAUCUAGUUCCAUGAAGAAGUUGUGUGAUUUUAAAGGUUUGUAAAUACAGCAUUAGAUUAGGAUAUAUCCCAUCCUCUCAUCUUUGUAUUUUUGUGAAUUAUAGAUUUUGAAAUCCUGGGUUGCUCU
Molecule: long non-coding RNA, 287 nt
Filed under: Salvator merianae (Argentine black and white tegu)
Lineage: Eukaryota; Metazoa; Chordata; Lepidosauria; Squamata; Teiidae
Description: lncRNA (ENSSMRG00000011893.1)
Source: RNAcentral